Molecule: ribosomal RNA, 482 nt
Filed under: uncultured bacterium
Lineage: Bacteria
Description: partial 16S ribosomal RNA
Rfam family: Bacterial small subunit ribosomal RNA
Source: RNAcentral
AUUGAACGCUGGCGGCAUGCCUUACACAUGCAAGUCGAACGGUAACAGGUCUUCGGAUGCUGACGAGUGGCGCACGGGUGAGUAAUACAUCGGAACGUGCCCAGACGUGGGGGAUAACGAGGCGAAAGCUUUGCUAAUACCGCAUACGAUCUAAGGAUGAAAGCAGGGGACCGCAAGGCCUUGCGCGUUUGGAGCGGCCGAUGGCAGAUUAGGUAGUUGGUGGGAUAAAAGCUUACCAAGCCGACGAUCUGUAGCUGGUCUGAGAGGACGACCAGCCACACUGGGACUGAGACACGGCCCAGACUCCUACGGGAGGCAGCAGUGGGGAAUUUUGGACAAUGGGCGAAAGCCUGAUCCAGCAAUGCCGCGUGCAGGAUGAAGGCCUUCGGGUUGUAAACUGCUUUUGUACGGAACGAAAAGGCUCUGGCUAAUACCUGGGGCACAUGACGGUACCGUAAGAAUAAGCACCGGCUAACUACAUG